GAAAUGCGAUAAGUAGUGUGAAUUGCAGAAUUCAGUGAAUCAUCGAAUCUUUGAACGCAUAUUGUGCCCCUUGGUAUUCCAUGGGGCAUGCCUGUUCGAGCGUCAUUUGUACCCUCAAGCUCUGCUUGGUGUUGGGUGUUUGUCCCCGUCUCCGCGCGUGGACUCGCCCCAAAGUGAUUGGCAGCCGGCGUACUGGUCCCGGAGCGCAGCACAUGUCGCGCAAACGAGUGCCUUGGUACGGCGGCGUCCAUAAGCCCCUCUCUCACGCUCUUGACCUCGGAUCAGGUAGGGAUACCCGCUGAACUUAAGC
This 310-nucleotide unclassified non-coding RNA is filed under the name plant metagenome. RNAcentral's name for it is "partial contains 5.8S ribosomal RNA, internal transcribed spacer 2, and large subunit ribosomal RNA". The stretch from base 1 to 105 matches the Rfam family "5.8S ribosomal RNA", at positions 50 to 154 of the family's 154-position model. The record is from RNAcentral.